RNAcentral lists this ribosomal RNA (864 nucleotides) under uncultured eukaryote. Its description in RNAcentral is "SSU rRNA". It matches the Rfam family "Eukaryotic small subunit ribosomal RNA", at positions 57 to 929 of the family's 1831-position model. The record is from RNAcentral.
GUCUAAGUAUAAGCACUUGUACUGUGAAACUGCGAAUGGCUCAUUAAAUCAGUUAUCGUUUAUUUGAUUGUACCUUACUACAUGGAUACCUGUGGUAAUUCUAGAGCUAAUACAUGCGAAAAGUCCCAACUUCUGGAAGGGAUGUAUUUAUUAGAUUAAAAACCAAUGCAAGUCUUCGGGCUCGUUUUCUUGGUGAUUCAUGAUAACUUUUCGAAUCGCAUGGCCUAGAGCCGGCGAUACUUCAUUCAAAUUUCUGCCCUAUCAACUGUCGAUGGUAAGGUAGUGGCUUACCAUGGUUAUAACGGGUGACGGAGAAUUAGGGUUCGAUUCCGGAGAGGGAGCCUGAGAAACGGCUACCACAUCUAAGGAAGGCAGCAGGCUCGAAAAUUACCCAAUCCCGACUCGGGGAGGUAGUGACAAGAAAUAACGAUACGGGGUCUUAAUAGGUCUCGCAAUUGGAAUGAGUACAAUUUAAAUCCUUUAACGAGGAUCAAUUGGAGGGCAAGUCUGGUGCCAGCAGCCGCGGUAAUUCCAGCUCCAAUAGCGUAUAUUAAAGUUGUUGCAGUUAAAAAGCUCGUAGUUGGAUUUCGGAGUGGGCCAGUUGGUCCGCCGCAAGGUGUGUUACUGACUGGUUUGCUCUUCUUCGCAAAGACUGCGUGUGCUCUUGAGUGAGUGUGCGUAGAAUUUACGACGUUUACUUUGAAAAAUUAGAGUGUUCAAAGCAGGCUAUUGCUUGAUACAUGAGCAUGGAAUAAUGGAAUAGGACUUUGGUCCCAUUUUGUUGGUUUCUAGGGCCGAAGUAUGAUUAAGAGGGACAUUGGGGGCAUCCGUAUUUCGUUGUCAGAGUGAAUUCUUGGAAUUUAC